AUUGAACGCUGGCGGCAGGCCUAACACAUGCAAGUCGAGCGGAUGAAGGGAGCUUGCUCCUGGAUUCAGCGGCGGACGGGUGAGUAAUGCCUAGGAAUCUGCCUGGUAGUGGGGGAUAACGUCCGGAAACGGGCGCUAAUACCGCAUACGUCCUGAGGGAGAAAGUGGGGGAUCUUCGGACCUCACGCUAUCAGAUGAGCCUAGGUCGGGUUAGCUAGUUGGUGGGGUAAAGGCCUACCAAGGCGACGAUCCGUAACUGGUCUGAGAGGAUGAUCAGUCACACUGGAACUGAGACACGGUCCAGACUCCUACGGGAGGCAGCAGUGGGGAAUAUUGGACAAUGGGCGAAAGCCUGAUCCAGCCAUGCCGCGUGUGUGAAGAAGGUCUUCGGAUUGUAAAGCACUUUAAGUUGGGAGGAAGGGCAGUAAGUUAAUACCUUGCUGUUUUGACGUUACCAACAGAAUAAGCACCGGCUAACUUCGU
RNAcentral lists this ribosomal RNA (483 nucleotides) under uncultured bacterium. Its description in RNAcentral is "partial 16S ribosomal RNA". It matches the Rfam family "Bacterial small subunit ribosomal RNA", at positions 30 to 506 of the family's 1533-position model. The record is from RNAcentral.